This 345-nucleotide long non-coding RNA is filed under the name Homo sapiens (human). RNAcentral describes it as "HSALNT0164121". The record is from RNAcentral. Lineage: Eukaryota; Metazoa; Chordata; Mammalia; Primates; Hominidae.
GUAGCUGUUCUGAACUCUUCUUCCAUUCCAUGCUCUGAGGGUGGGAAGUGGAGGGACGGGGAGCUGAAGAAGUGGAAUGAGAUGCACAACAAUGCGGUGGAGAAGAGGAAGCCUCCCUGACUGCCUUGUGUCUCAGAAUUUCUAAAGCUGCUCCUCCCUGCCACGAUGUGUCCUAUCUCAUCCUCUCAUUGCACCAUGGAUUGUUAAGAUCCAGCCCUCAGCACAGCAGAUGAGGAGACUUCAGAGCAGAUGGGGGCUGUGCCUGUGGCAGUCUCCUCCCACAAAGGGGGCCAGAUGGAAAUCCUGGCCCACCGUCUCCCUGGAAAGAACUGCACCUCAGGAGGU